Triticum aestivum (bread wheat) is the source of this 3256-nucleotide RNA transcript. RefSeq lists it as uncharacterized. Lineage: Eukaryota; Viridiplantae; Streptophyta; Magnoliopsida; Poales; Poaceae. The transcript is spliced from 14 exons. The record is from RefSeq and is a predicted model, not a curated record.
UCCCCCUCCCCCGCCUCCAGGCUCCAGCAGUCGCCUCGUCAUAAGAGAAAAAGCGGCAGCGCCAAUGGCAUCUGGUGCCGCCCACCUAGUAGUGCUGGCCUCGUGUGCCUCCACCACUCGCCACCUCGUCGCCUCCGCCCCCGCCUCGCCAUGCCCGCCGGCGUGCUGGCCGCAGUGCGCUGGUCCACCGCCUGCUCGGCGCUGCUCAACGCCGCCGCCGCGUCCACCGGCGCGGCCGUCGCGGGCCUCGCGCUCCGGGACCGCUGCGGGGGCGCGCUCGGCCCCGCAGCCGCCGCCGCGUCCGCGGCCUCCGCGGCGAGGCUCCUCGCGUCCGCCGUGGCCGGGUUCGCGCAGGGCCUGGCGGCCAGCGCCAUCGCCGCCGGCGCCAUCGGGGCGCACGUCGACAGCGACCGCGACCUCCGCCAUCUCUCGCGGCUACGAUACAAUAGAUGGCUUUGGUGGGCAAGGUUUGGGAUGGUGAUUACAGUGCUCCAAUUUGUGCUGGCACUUUAUUUGAUGUGUAUUAUUGUAAAGGAUUUCUCAUCUGGGAAGUCAUUGAAGGAGUGUUUUUCAGGACACGACAAGGACGUCAAUGACUGGAAGAACAUCUUGUUAAUGAUUUUUCUUGUUGUCAUGUGGGUGGGAACAAUAGUCCAAUGUGCCACAGGUUCCGAUGUAUUAAGAUGGAGGUCCUUUUAUGCAACCCAUGAUAUUGCAUGGAGGGCUCACUACAGGGAGGUGUUUGAUCAUGGCAUUCGUGAGGUUUUAUGUUGUCUAGGACGGGCGAAGUACUCGAGUGUACUGGAAGAUGACGAUAUAUGUGUUGUGGCAAAACUGUUGGGAGAUAUUAUGGCUUAUCGUGCAUCUGGAACUGGUCACCUUGAGCUCAUAGCAGGGUUUUCAUUGUUGCAGAAAUCCAAGAUGUCAACAGUUCUUUCAAGAGAGCAAGUGGAAGCUCCUCCUGAUCUCAUCCAAGAGGCUAUUCUGUUUCAUCCAUUUGCUGAAGCUGCCUAUACAGGUCCGCUACUUGAUUUUGGGAGGAAUCCUCUUAUGUUUCCCUGUGUUUGGCUCAAUAGGCAAGGUAUUUUAACUCCAUGGACUCGUGCUAGACGACCAAUCCUUGAAGGAGAUAAUUGGUGGAGAGGGCAUGCAGCGGCUUUCCUAAAGUAUGUCAAUGUGCCCCCAGAAGUACUUCGGAAAGGGCGUGUUAGCCAGACAAAACGUGAGGCUGCCUACUUUGUUAUUGUCUUACAUAACUUGAGAACAGUAGUCAUUGCCAUUCGUGGAACUGAGACUCCAGAAGAUGUUAUAACUGAUGGCUUGUGUAGGGAAUGCUCUCUUACCAUGGAUGACUUGGAUGGGCUGAUCAAUUCUGAUCAGUUGCCCCCUCAAGUGAAGGAGACUGUCCUCUCGUCUUUUCCACACUAUGGGCAUGCAGGAAUUAUUGAAUCGGCUCGAGAAUUGUACACAAAGCUUGAAGGGCAGUCCAUUCAUCAAGAUAAGUCAGAGCUGAUGACAGCUGGGUUCUUAUCUUCGCUGCUCGGAGCUGGAUGUGAGUGUGAUGGAUACAAUAUUGAAAUUGUUGGACAUUCUUUAGGAGGUGCUGUAGCUGCACUUCUUGGUAUUAGGCUAUAUAAACAGUUUCCAAAAUUACAUGUCUUUACUUAUGGAGCUGCACCCUGUGUGGAUUUCGUGAUAGCAGAUGCAUGCUCACAGUUUGUUACCAGCAUUGUCCACAACGAUGAAUUUUCCUCAAGAUUAUCCAUGAAUUCGGUAAUUCGAUUACGUGGUGCUGCUAUCAAAGCUUUAUCAAAGGAUACUUCGCCAAAUUCUACUAAAGUUGGCAAACUAGUGGGUGGCUUCACGAGCAACAAAAGGCAUGAUGAACAACACGCUGUGGUUCGAUGUGCUUCUUCUGGUGCUCUUCAGACAGUCAGCGAUGCAAAGCAAAGUAAUGAUCAAAUCCAUGGAAAGAGUGUAAUGCAUACAGUUAGAGGUGGUGUGUUCCUCUUUGGUCAAGCGAUAUCUUGCUUGGUAAAUACUCCAAAACAUAGAAUUAGCUCCACUGCGGUAAUUAACUAUGAGUUGGGACGAUCUAGAACAACAUUAACCUAUAAUGGUGAAAAUUUGACUGUUGCUUCCCGUGGUGUUCUGGAUGGUGCACCUUCUGAAGAACCUAGUGAUGCAUACAGACAUGACAAGUUUCCAGAAGCUGGCUUGGAUGAAUCCGGAAGUAGUUUCAGGUUACCUCAUUCAAAUAAUGGUGCUGAGCUCUCAUCUGCCCCGGAUCACACGUGUACAAUAAGUUUAUCUGAAGGGCAGUCGCCAGAUGUGUACCUCCCUGGCCUCAUUAUUCAUAUCGUUCCCAUAAAGAAUGGUACUUCUCCAUUGCGGAAGACACUUGUGACUCGUCACAAGAACAAGAGUUAUAAAGCAUUUAUAGCGAAUCGGCAGGAUUUUAUGGACCUUGUUGUGACCCCUCGCAUGUUCCUUGAUCAUCUCCCGUGGAGGUGUCACUAUGCCAUGCAAAGGGUUAUAGAAACACGGAAACGGAACCAGCCCAUUCUCAAUUCAUGCAGUGGAGAGGAUUCUGUCUAACUGAAUUUGUUAGGCUGGUACAAAUGUAUCAUUAUGCAGCUUGGCCUCUUCCUUCUGUACAAAUGUAUCAUUAUCCAACUUGACCCCUCACAUGUUCCUUGAUCAUCUCCCGUGGAGGUGUCACUAUGCCAUGCAAAGGGUUAUAGAAACACGGAAACGGAACCAGCCCAUUCACUAUUCAUCCACCGGAGAGGAUUCUGUCUAACUGAAAUCUGUUAGGCUAUUCGCAAAAAAAAGAAGGAAAUCUGUGACGCUGGUACAAAUGUAUCAUUAUUCAGCUUGCCCGCUUCUGUACAUAUACAAGUUAGGGAGCUAUGAUCAUGUACUCUUCACAUGCAUAAGCUAGGAAGCUGUAGAAGGAGCAAGGGCCCAAACGAGCCUUGGGUCCAUCCUGAUGAACGCUACUUGACCUCAGCAUUGUUGUAUUCAACUUUCCUGAUAGCUAGGGCGCGCCCCUCUUAGACAUACCAUCAGGUCAACGGAGACCAGCAUCAUUAUUUAUGACAAGCUUGUAGUAUUAAAUUAAAGCCUCUGGUGUCAACUUUUGCUUCGAGCACUGUUGUAACUUUGACACCAGCACAUGUAUGUUUCGCCUGUAAAAUCUGAACUGCCAUGAACUUGUGGAUGGAAAAUGAUAAGUAUCCAAGUUGUUAUUCUA